RNAcentral lists this non-coding RNA (744 nucleotides) under Teredorus nigropennis. The record is from RNAcentral. Lineage: Eukaryota; Metazoa; Arthropoda; Insecta; Orthoptera; Tetrigidae.
UUAAAGUUUUAUUCUUGCUUAUUUUUAUUUUUUUUUAGUAUGUUUUAUAUACUUAAUUAUUUAUUAGAUAUCUUUUUUUGUAGUAUUUAUUAUUAAAUAUCAAUUUAUGUUGGAUUUAGCAAUUUUUUAUAGGAAGGGCAAAUGUCGUGCCAGCAGCCGCGGUUAUACGUUAUUUUCAAGAUUAAAUUUUUUGGUGGCAGUGUUUUUUUUUUUGUUGUUAUUUAUUUAAUUAAUGUUUGGUGGAAUAUCAUUUUUAUUUAUUUGUCUUUUAUUUUAUUUUCUGUAAAAGCUAUUUUUUAAACUAGGAUUAGAUACCCUAUUAUUUUAGAUUAUUUUUUUUUCCAGGGUAGUAUUUUUUGUAUUUGAAAUCUAAAGAAUUUGGCGGCAUUUUAUCUUUUUAGAGGAACCUGUUAUGUAAAUGAUAUUACACGAUUAGCUUUACUUUAUAUAUUUGUUUGUAUAUUUCCGUUAUAAGAAUAUUUAUGGAUAAUAUUUUCUUGUUUUUUAAUUAAAAUUUAUUUCAGGUCAAGGUGCAGCUUAUUAUAAAGUUUUAAAUGGGUUACAAUAAUAUAAUUUAAAUGGAUAUUUAAUUUAAAUUUUAUAUUGAAGGUGGAUUUAUUAGUAGGUUUUAGUAAUUUCUAUUUCCGAAUUAGUUCUGAAUUGUGUACAUAUCGCCCGUCGCUCUCAUUUAUUUGAGAUAAGUCGUAACAAAGUAGAUUUACUGGAAAGUGAAUCUGGAUUAUC